CCGAAUCCGAUCCGAAUCCGAUCCGAUUAAUCCGGUCCAUUUAUGCAAAUCCGAAUCCGAAUAUCUGUUUAACCCGUAUCUGUGUAGCCCGAUUUUAAACGGGUCGGACUCGGAUAAAUCCGAUCCAAUCCGUUUGUUUGCCUAAUCCGAUUCCAUUGAAAUCAGAUCUCUCAUAAACAGAUCUCUCUCAUCGUCUGAAAAGUGCGUUCUAUUGUUGAAGUUCAUCGUCUGAAGAUCAAAUCUCUCUCUCAUCGUCUGAAAAUGCUCCGAUUGAUGACGAUGAACCUAGCCAAAUCGAGCUCUCUGCUCCGAUUGGAUUCAUAACGCUCAAUUUCAAAGAACGAAGUCCAAAUCUUGUCAGAUCGGAGCUACGAACUAUGUUUUGGUGGCUGAUGUUAUCGUAGUAGAAGCAAAGAACAAGAGAAGAUACUGAAGAACUAAUAGAGAAGACCAAAAGAGACACAAACAUGUUUGGGAAACUAUUGUUAGCUCUCAGAUAGUAUAGCAUAGCUUGUUCUUCAUAGGAGUCUUUCAUGAGUUUUUUCUGGUUUUACUUUUGUGCCAAAAGUGUGUCAUAAAAUUCUGACCUCUUGUAAGUUAGAGAAUGCAGUGGCAAUGUUUUGGUGGCUGAUGUUACUUUUUUUUUUUGUCAAUGAUGGAAUUAUUCUUUUUGAGUUGGAUAUGAUUGGUGAUAGUGAAACUGAAUCACAUCACCGUUUAAUUUGCAACCAAGUGAUUGGUUUGUUGCUUUGUAAUGAUGCUCCAUUGUCUCUCAAAACCUGGUGACAUCUUUUGAGUUGUUUUUACACCAUGAAUGCAACAGUGACUUUUGUACUCUAUCUGGGAUAUGAUCAGGUUGAGUUAUUGAGCUGGGUUAGGCUUGUAAGCUUUGAAUUAGACUGCUCAGCUUAGUAUUGUUUGAUUUGAUUUGUAUGUUCAAAAUCCGAGAACAUAUGUUUAGCAUGUGUAAUGAAAUAGACUUGUUUCCAA
Molecule: non-coding RNA, 990 nt
Organism: Camellia sinensis
Lineage: Eukaryota; Viridiplantae; Streptophyta; Magnoliopsida; Ericales; Theaceae
Source: RefSeq, a predicted model, not a curated record